Molecule: ribosomal RNA, 406 nt
Filed under: uncultured bacterium
Lineage: Bacteria
Description: partial 16S ribosomal RNA
Rfam family: Bacterial small subunit ribosomal RNA
Source: RNAcentral
AUUGAACGCUGGCGGCAGGCCUAACACAUGCAAGUCGAACGAGUGGCGGACGGGUGAGUAAUGGAUGGGAAACUGCCCGAUGGAGGGGGAUAACUACUGGAAACGGUAGCCAAUACCGCAUACCAUCGGAUGUGCCCAGAUGGGAUUAGCUAGUGGGUGGGGUAACGGCUCACCUAGGCGACGAUCCCUAGCUGGUCUGAGAGGAUGACCAGCCACACUGGAACUGAGACACGGUCCAGACUCCUACGGGAGGCAGCAGUGGGGAAUAUUGCACAAUGGGCGCAAGCCUGAUGCAGCCAUGCCGCGUGUAUGAAGAAGGCCUUCGGGUUGUAAAGUACGUUCAGCGAGGAGGCGUUACUCGCAGAAGAAGCACCGGCUAACUCCGUGCCAGCCGCCGCGGUAAUAC